Molecule: ribosomal RNA, 497 nt
Filed under: uncultured bacterium
Lineage: Bacteria
Description: partial 16S ribosomal RNA
Rfam family: Bacterial small subunit ribosomal RNA
Source: RNAcentral
GAUGAACGCUGGCGGCGUGCCUAAUACAUGCAAGUCGAGCGAACAGACGAGGAGCUUGCUCCUCUGACGUUAGCGGCGGACGGGUGAGUAACACGUGGAUAACCUACCUAUAAGACUGGGAUAACUUCGGGAAACCGGAGCUAAUACCGGAUAAUAUAUUGAACCGCAUGGUUCAAUAGUGAAAGACGGUUUUGCUGUCACUUAUAGAUGGAUCCGCGCCGCAUUAGCUAGGUGGUAAGGUAACGGCUGACCAAGGCGACGAUGCGGAGCCGACCUGAGAGGGUGAUCGGCCACACUGGAACUGAGACACGGUCCAGACUCCUACGGGAGGCAGCAGUAGGGAAUCUUCCGCAAUGGGCGAAAGCCUGACGGAGCAACGCCGCGUGAGUGAUGAAGGUCUUCGGAUCGUAAAACUCUGUUAUUAGGGAAGAACAAAUGUGUAAGUAACUAUGCACGUCUUGACGGUACCUAAUCAGAAAGCCACGGCUAACUACGUG